UGCCCCCAUGUCUAACAACAUGGCUUUGA
RNAcentral lists this non-coding RNA (29 nucleotides) under Homo sapiens (human). The record is from RNAcentral. Lineage: Eukaryota; Metazoa; Chordata; Mammalia; Primates; Hominidae.